This is a long non-coding RNA of Limulus polyphemus (Atlantic horseshoe crab), 98 nucleotides long. RefSeq lists it as uncharacterized. The record is from RefSeq and is a predicted model, not a curated record. Lineage: Eukaryota; Metazoa; Arthropoda; Merostomata; Xiphosura; Limulidae. The transcript has 3 exons.
UUUUAAACAUACAUAAAGCUUUAAGGUAAAAAAACGCGGGUAGUUUUACAUUGUUAAGUCGGUCUUGUUCGAGAAAGCUUUAUUGUAGAAACUGAAGA